RNAcentral lists this ribosomal RNA (581 nucleotides) under Rhodotorula graminis. RNAcentral's name for it is "eukaryotic LSU rRNA". It matches the Rfam family "Eukaryotic large subunit ribosomal RNA", at positions 73 to 664 of the family's 3401-position model. Lineage: Eukaryota; Fungi; Basidiomycota; Microbotryomycetes; Sporidiobolales; Sporidiobolaceae. The record is from RNAcentral.
CAUUCCCUAGUAGCGGCGAGCGAGCGGGAAGAGCUCAAAUUUAUAAUCUGGCACCUUCGGUGUCCGAGUUGUAAUCUCUAGAAGUGUUUUCCGCGUUGGACCGCACACAAGUCUGUUGGAAUACAGCGGCAUAGUGGUGAAACCCCCGUAUAUGGUGCGGACGCCCAGCGCUUUGUGAUACACUUUCAAUGAGUCGAGUUGUUUGGGAAUGCAGCUCAAAUUGGGUGGUAAAUUCCAUCUAAAGCUAAAUAUUGGCGAGAGACCGAUAGCGAACAAGUACCGUGAGGGAAAGAUGAAAAGCACUUUGGAAAGAGAGUUAACAGUACGUGAAAUUGUUGGAAGGGAAACGCUUGAAGUCAGACUUGCUUGCCGGAGCUUGCUUCGGUUUGCAGGCCAGCAUCAGUUUUCCGGGGUGGAUAAUGACGGUUUGAAGGUAGCAGUCUCGGCUGUGUUAUAGCUUUCCGUUGGAUACAUCCUGGGGGACUGAGGAACGCAGCGUGCUUUUUGCGAAAGACUCGUCUUUUUCACGCUUAGGAUGCUGGUGGAAUGGCUUUAAACGACCCGUCUUGAACCACGGGACC